GACCUCAGCUGAAGUCAGAUGCUUAACUAACUGAGCCAUCCAGGCGCCCCCAGUCAAUUAUCUUUUAAAUAAAUUUAAAUUAUGAAAGUCUUUUCUAUUUCCCCAUCUAGUUAACAUGUUGUCAUUUCUUCUUCUAGAUCAUUAUUUCCAUACGAUAUCAUUUUCCUUCUGUUUGAAGGACUUUUACCAAUUCCCAUGCUGAAAGGCUGCUGAUGCUGAAUUCUUUCAUCGUUUACAUAUCUGAAGAAAUUUUGAUUUCAUCUCAUUUUUGAAAUAUGUUUUUGCUGGGUAUAGAAUUCUAGGUUGACAGUAAAGGUAUUGUUUCAUUGUCUUCUGGACUGUAUUUUUGUCUAACAAGAAGUUCAGUUUUAUUCUUAUCACUGAUCUUCUGUAUAUAAUGUUUCCUUUUCUCCCUGCUGCUUCUAAAAUUUUUGUCUUUCUCAGUGUUUUUCAGAAAUUUUAUUACAGUAUGCUUUGGUAUGGCUUUUUUCAUAUUUUUGUGCUUGGGUUGUUCUGAAGCUUCUUAGAUUUAUGGUUUUAUAGUUUUCAUCAAAUUUGAAAGUUUUUUUGUUAUUAUUUCUACUGUUUUUUUUUUUUUUAAUCCCUACUCCCUCUCUCUCCAUUGGAAAGUACACUAUGUGUAUACUAGGCUUUUUUGAUAGGCUGAGAAUGAAGUAAUUGCAGAAUAUCCAGAUUAUAGGGUUUAGCAUAUGGUUACAAAGUAAGGAUUAUAGCUCAGAAAUGAGAUCAGGGAUGAAACAAAGAUUUGGGAUAUAUCUGAAUAGAGGUGGUAGAUGAAACUCCAAGAGUUUUUUGAUUCCUUUGAAUGAUAAUGAUAUAAAAAGUAGACAGAGUGGUCUGCCCUUAUAUCCUGGUUGUAUGUAGAUGAUUGGCUACUAGUAAAUACAUUGAUAAUUGCACACACCCUCACUAUGGAAGUGUAUUUAUUUACAUUAUCAGUAGCCUCUUUGCCAGUCCUCAAACUGCCUAAUUUGGGGAUGCUAUAUUCUCUCAUCCUUGACUGCUGUUCCCUAGAUAUUCAUUUUGUGAACUUCUCAUUUCAUUUAGCUUUCUGAUCAAAUGACACCUACUGAGAGCUGACAAACCAAUCUGAAGCAGCCCCCACUAUUACUCUCUGAACCUUUUUAACCCUGUUUUACUUUCUGUCAUAGCACUUAUAACCACCUGGCAAAUGUUAGUGGUAUGAUUUUAAUCUGUUCUCUCUACCUAGAAUCUAAGCUCCACGAAAGCAGAAAUAUUUCUGUCUUCCUGCUUGAUCACCAGUACUUCACUUAUAGGAUAUGCUUCAUUAUGUGUACUAACCAAAUUAAUGAUUUUUUUUCUUUAUGACUAACACUUGUAGUGAAAUUACUGAACUAUUUUGGAAAAUAUCAUAAUGGGAAGAGUUACAUAUAUUAUUUUGAGCAUUGCUAACAUGCAAAGAUAUAGUAGGAAAGAUGUUUAUAUAAAUUAAAUGCCAUAGGAUUUCUUUGACAUUUUAAUACAAGCAAGCUUUGUGAUUCCCCCCAGCCAUUGGAGCCAAGUGGUGCCACAUCAGAUAGAAUGAGAACAGAGAAGACCAGAGCUUCGGCCAUUGGCGAGGCUGGAACAAUGGGCCUCAUGAAGAAGUUGGGAAAGAAAGAUAUCAAGAAAGGGAUCUUAUGCCCGUUUCCACAUUUUUAACUGCUAUUCUAAGCUGCAGUAACUAGUUGGUUUUCAAAAUUCAGAGAGUGGAAAAUCAAGGGUAAGAAUGCUGAGCCAAGAGCAAGGUUCAAGGAGGUUGGGCUGGAGACAGAUGAGGUAUGUGCCCCAUCCCACUCCCAAUAGUCCUGAGAGUCCCAAUGCACUAAGAAGAUCUAGCUAACUCCCUGAUUUCAACAUGAAAUGUUGAUGCAAACGUGCAUAUAUAUAUCUGUAUACAUAAAAUCAAAACCAUA
Molecule: long non-coding RNA, 1937 nt
Organism: Felis catus (domestic cat)
Lineage: Eukaryota; Metazoa; Chordata; Mammalia; Carnivora; Felidae
Exons: 2
Source: RefSeq, a predicted model, not a curated record